Molecule: long non-coding RNA, 3115 nt
Filed under: Zea mays
Lineage: Eukaryota; Viridiplantae; Streptophyta; Magnoliopsida; Poales; Poaceae
Description: drought responsive lncRNA
Source: RNAcentral
AUGAUCAACAUCUCUGUGUGCAGUAUGCUUGAGAAUAGCUUUAAGGCUGAGUAACAAGGUUUGAAGAAAGUUAUUUCAUUUUUUUUCUGAACAUAUAUUGUUUGAUUCGUAAUUUAGUUUACAUGGUAUGACAUCAUUUAUUUUUGGUUUAAACUUUAGAGUAUAUAUGCUAAUUGUAUGCUCUAGAUCAGUUUAAAAAGGAUGCAGAUGUCUAGUCGUAAUAGGCCAAUCUACAAACUUUCAUAGCCUGAAGUUUAUGAACAGUGAAUACACAUCGGUUCUAACUUCUGUGUUUGUAAAGAUGCUAAAAGUAUUCUCGCUCUAUUAAUGUCUUCUUAGGUAAAAUAGAUUUGAUUUACAUGUGCCAGUAUUUUGGAAGCAUAAUAGACACUGAGCUUCAAACGUUUGGUCAGGUUCAUCAUUUUUAAUGCACCAACACCAAUGAGCCCCUUCUCAGCACAAUGAAAUUGUUUACAUGUAUGCAUUUUUUUCUUGCUAUUGUUAUGAAAAAAGCAUUAUUUCUGAAAUAUUGACUUCCAAUUUAUGAAAUAUUGAUUUCCAAUUUCUGAUAGUAUCUUCAGGGCCAGUCUACAAACUUUCACAGCCUGAAGUUUAUGAACAGUUAAUACACAUCGGUUCUAACUUCUGUGUUUGUAAGGAUGCUAAAAGUACUCAGACUCUGUUAAUGUCUUCUUAGAUAAAAUAGAUUUGAUUUAUAAGUGCCAGUAUUUUGGGAGCAUAAUAGACACUAAGCUUCAAACGUUUGGUCAGGUUCAUCAUUUUUAAUGCAGCAACACCAAUGAGCCCCUUCUCAGCACAAUGACAUUGUUUACAUGUAUGCAUUUUUUUCUUGCUAUUGUUAUGAAGAAGCUUUAUUUCUGAAAUAUUGAUUUCCAAUUUAUGAAAUAUUGAUUUUAAUUUCUGAUAGUACCUUUGGUGCAUUUCUUAACUUCUUUAUUCCAGCCUUGGGAUACUGUAUAAUCUUACCAAAUGAACAUAGAUAGGUCUAUGUUUGGUUUAUGUUCAUUACUGUCAUUUUUCUGUUGUGUGCUCUGACAAGGUGGACUUAACACACCCUAAUCUACUAUGACAAACAGAGCAGGGCCUGCUGUAGCCAAUGAGUUGGAUACAGUGGACACAAUCACAUCAAUUUUGCGGUUCAAUUACUUUGCAAAAGGUUGUAUAUGCAGCCUCUCUUUUGUAGUCAACUCUUUUAUAAUGGCUAAACCUAGAAUUUCUUUUACGCAAACUCGACAUGAUCCAAAUCAGUUGCUCCCAGUCAGGAGCUGAUUUGAGUCUAGCGCCAAAUCACCUCAAACUUUUAUAGCCCAAUUUGUCUCUCUGUGUUGGCAUCAUGAGCCAUCCGUCCCAUUCAGCUUGAUAGCAGGUUAUGACACAGCCAGGCAGAAACCUGGAAGGAUUACCCAGGUCUAAAUUGGACCAUUGCAUCAGCACACAUCUCUUGCUCUCGCCCUAUUUUAGAUAUAUUGUUAUUUUGUUCUCACACAUUCGUGCUUUGCUCCUUGUUUUGCAGUUAUGCAUAUAUCUAAUAAAAGUGGAAGGAUACCAUAUGCCACUUUUUUCUAAUAUAAGAUAACCCUUCAUAUUUCAUUUUUCUCUUAAUGUAGGACAACUAGAUUUAUAUACUCUCCAUAGUAGCUGCUCUUGACAGAAAAGAAAGCAACAGAAGUGCCAUUCAUACAUGUCAAAAGAUUAAUUUGCAGCAAUAAAUUAUAAUUCCACAGGUCUGAAUUGUGUGUACAUACAUACAUGUAAAAAAAUAAUUUGCAAGGACAGGUAAUAAUUCCACAUGUCCGACUUGGUGGGUUACACAUCCUACUAUCCCCUUGUUUGUUUUUUAAAUAAUCUGGUCGGAUGACAAUUCUACUAUUUGCUUCUAUAUUUUCUCCAAAUCUCCCCUUCUCUUGUUCUGUUACAGCUUGUUAAUAUCACUUGCUGCAGACAAAGUACGUCAAAAGGCAACGUCUAAGUAAUAUGUUGAUACACAAAGAUAGAAGGUUACAUGUGCGUUGUUACUAUCUCACGCCAACUCAGACCUCUACUGGAUAACGUUGCACACCAUGCGACUAGACAGACACUAAAUUUGGGUACCUCUACAAAGCACUUAAUUUAUUGUGCCUCUUUCGAAAAAGGUUCUUUUCUUUCGUAAUUACCUAACCACUGCUAUACUAUACUAACAUUUUGAAUUCACAUAUACAAACUCGGCUUCAUUACUACUGACGGAACAUCCGAAGCAGAAUUUUUUGUGUCAUGGAGAUACAAAUUAAAAGUUAGUUUAUUGUAAUUUCCAAAAAAACAGCAGAGAGCACUUAACAAGGCAAGGGAGUAUCAAUUUAAAUUAUGCUACCAAAAUUGUGUUGAAAACUUACUUUUACACAAAUCCUUGAAAUUAACAAAAAAAAUUGUCUUCCUUGUUCACUCACUGAGAACUUGUGGUGAUAACGGUCCCAGGCCAGUUGCGAGCAACAUAUGGGUUGUUCUCGUGAAGGAAGUUGAACACCUCGUCCAACAGCUGCAACAGAAAAGCUCAAGGUCAAAUUUCAAAAAAAGGACGAUGACCAAUAUAGAAGUUAUCUUAACAAUGACAGACUGUCAUCACCACCUAAAAAGUAUGUGGCACAAAGCACAUAUAGGAUCAAGGCUAGCCAACUUCACAAACUUCAAUCAGAUUUUACUGACCCUGAAAACGAUAACCAUUAGAUCGUUGUGAAUUACAUGAAGAACGUGGGCAUGAGCGUGCGCAAUACACUAGUGUUGGGACCAUGCUUCGUCGCCGAAGGUCCUGCAAAAAGAAACAGCUUCGGCUGAAGCUGCUUGAACAUGAUGCCGAAGACACCGUUCACGAAGCUUCGGAGCUACAACAUAUCCGAAGACGAAGGGUCGAACCGACUUAAAGAUAGAAUGACCAUUUAGCCCAUAAGGGUCUGAGUCAUUGUUGUAAACUUUUAUGAGGGGCAUAAUUGUAAUUCCUCAUGAGUUGUGUCCUGUGCCUAUAAAUAGUGAACAGUAUUCCUUUACUGUUCACGGAUUCCUGUAAUUGCCAACGCAUCACUCGGGAAUUAUUGUUUGUCAAGGCAAAGGUAUAAAUGUACCU